Ribosomal RNA from Macadamia integrifolia, 119 nucleotides. Lineage: Eukaryota; Viridiplantae; Streptophyta; Magnoliopsida; Proteales; Proteaceae. The record is from RefSeq and is a predicted model, not a curated record.
GGGUGUGAUCAUACCAGCACUAGUGCACCAGAUCUCAUCAAAACUCCGUAGUUAAGUGUACUUGGGCGAGAGUAGUACUAGGAUGGGUGACCCCCGGGGAAGUCCUUGUGUCGUACCCU